CCUAAAUUCCACUAAAUGGGUCGACCCUAAACCACAUACCCUAAUUAUACAGAUGAAUCCUCCAUUUACUCUAUCCAACAAUCCGACGUCCUGAUCGAUCCCUAUUUGAUCGAGUUUCAUAACCGGAUGAUUAUGAACGAAUCAUACCGACCGUCUCGAAUCUUCGACGACGAUCUUCCGAUUUUGUCAGACACCGACGAUUUUCAGAGUGCAGAAACUGUUAGUCUUCUGCGGUUAUGUGAUGGCCUCUCAUCCAUCUGGAAAUGAGAAAUUACGUUUAGUCGUUUGGGUUUUCGAUUGAUUGCAAUAGCUGGCGUGCCACCACUCAUAUAAUAGCUUAAUCGGUGGAGUUGUUACCGCCACUGCCGCCAGACUGAUAUGAUACUUUCAGAUGCUAGACGACAGUUGAUGUUAAGUUUCCGGCACCUGAUUGAGUUCGUUAGAAAGAUGACGGGGUAUGGGCUCACGGGUCCGGUGAACAGAAAAGAGUAUAUUGAUUACUCGAGUACGAUUGAUAUUGAGUAGAAAACGAAUGCCAAGGAAGAAAAGCAAAGACGGAAAAACUUGAAAGAAUGCUUAUUUGUGUAAAGGUGAUGAGCCGAUUGUAUUUUUAAUCUCAAAUAAUGCAUGAAUGAUGAUUACAAUCGGUGAAGAUACAAUUGAAAAACUAAAGGGAUCAUGUUUUUACGAUAUUUAAGUAAACACAAAACACAAGCAGAAAACGGUGAAUGAAAUAAAGAACAAUGACAAAUUCAAAAGGCUAACCUGAUUUGCAAUGUGUUGCGGAAGGCUGACUAUAUGAACUUCAGAAACGUGAAACAAUGCACGACAGAGGGGAAUAAAAUCAGAGGUGAAGAAAACGAAAGCAGUAAGAGGAGGAAAACCACUGUGAUAUGCAAACAGAAUGUCAGGGACAACGUAUUCUGCAACAGCAAGGAGCCUUUACGUUCAACAGGGAUUACAAAAGGAAAUGAAGGGCAUUUUGGACAAUUUAGUUUAGUAAAAGAAGCGGGAAAAUUCGAUUUUGGGGGGCUUGGAGAUUGCCACGUGGCGAAAUUGUACUUAUUUAUUAGAUUAGGGGAUUAUCAAACUAAUAAUUACCAAAAUUUGAAACUAUUACUAAACCAACAAUUACCAACAUUUUAAACAAUUACCAAAAUUAAAUAGUCUUGUCACC
Non-coding RNA from Lactuca sativa (garden lettuce), 1177 nucleotides. The record is from RefSeq and is a predicted model, not a curated record. Lineage: Eukaryota; Viridiplantae; Streptophyta; Magnoliopsida; Asterales; Asteraceae.